RNAcentral lists this transfer RNA (67 nucleotides) under Nonomuraea phyllanthi. RNAcentral describes it as "Nonomuraea sp. PA1-10 tRNA-OTHER". It matches the Rfam family "tRNA". From Rfam's summary of the family: Transfer RNA (tRNA) molecules are approximately 80 nucleotides in length. Their secondary structure includes four short double-helical elements and three loops (D, anti-codon, and T loops). Lineage: Bacteria; Bacillati; Actinomycetota; Actinomycetes; Streptosporangiales; Streptosporangiaceae. The record is from RNAcentral.
GCCUCCGGGCUGCUCUACCCUCGCUCUCCUAAAGCGGGUGCCGCAGGUUCGAAUCCUGCCGGGGGCA